Non-coding RNA from Pantherophis guttatus, 396 nucleotides. Lineage: Eukaryota; Metazoa; Chordata; Lepidosauria; Squamata; Colubridae. The record is from the annotation of a RefSeq genome assembly.
AAUUCCACCCUGACUUCCACCAUGGCUUGGCUGCCACUUCUCAUCCUCUCCACUUACUUUAUGGGGACUUUUUCCCAGUUUGUCCUGAAUCAACCAGCUUCUGUGUCUGGAUUUCCUGGAGGGACAAUCCGAAUCACUUGUACUAAAAGCAGUGGAACAAUUGAAACAUACGAUUCCUCCUGGUAUCAACAGAAGCCUGGAAAUACCCCCAAACUCCUUAUAUAUGGUGAUAGCGAAAGAGCCUCUGGAAUCCCAGCACGAUUCUCCGGUUCUGUUGAAAACUCGAGAACAUCUGCCGCCUUAAUCAUCUCUAAUCUUGAAACAGAGGAUGAAGGUGAUUAUUAUUGCCUCUCUAUUGCAGAUGAUGGCAAGUCCACAGUGCUACAAUCCCACUGA